RNAcentral lists this transfer RNA (62 nucleotides) under Ixodes scapularis (black-legged tick). RNAcentral describes it as "tRNA-Leu". The record is from RNAcentral. Lineage: Eukaryota; Metazoa; Arthropoda; Arachnida; Ixodida; Ixodidae.
ACUAAUUUGGCAGAAAAAAUUGUAUCAAAUUUAGAAUUUGAAAAUGGUAUUACCAAUUAGUG